This is a long non-coding RNA of Mastomys coucha (southern multimammate mouse), 328 nucleotides long. RefSeq lists it as uncharacterized. The record is from RefSeq and is a predicted model, not a curated record. NCBI's taxonomy places the organism in Eukaryota, Metazoa, Chordata, Mammalia, Rodentia, Muridae. The transcript has 2 exons.
CUUCUAGCAAUUUAAAUUUUAAGCUUUAAUUAAUGAAAAGCUCUGCCUUCUAUUAAGGGAGCAUCAUGAACUAGCACAAGAAAGCUCUGCUUCAUGUAAUGCAGCUAUGAAAAGAGAAAAAAAACUGGGAAGGAAGCACCGGCCAUGGUUUGGGAGAGAAAUCGAGUGAGCGAAGCUAAGGGAACACGGAGAACAGUCAAUAUCCAGCAACGGCAGCAAAACACUUUCAAUUUUCUGGAUUAUUAAUUCAAAUUCACACGCACACGCCAGUUAAAAUUAAAGGGCUCUUUUUACUGCACUAGUUUAAAUUAAAGAUUAUAUUCUGCUC